This is a long non-coding RNA of Anneissia japonica, 1622 nucleotides long. RefSeq lists it as uncharacterized. Lineage: Eukaryota; Metazoa; Echinodermata; Crinoidea; Comatulida; Comatulidae. The transcript is spliced from 3 exons. The record is from RefSeq and is a predicted model, not a curated record.
AGUCACUGGCGACGGUCUAUCAAUAAAUGUUAACACGCGAUGUAUUACAUAGGCUUAUUGCUUAUUUUUAAACCGUCACUACAUUACUAAAUCUACAAUUGCUUAGACUUAUGAUUAUAGCUGUUAAUAGUCAAACGGUGCACUGUAAAAAAUGCUGGGAAAAUUGACAGAGUAAAAUGAGAUCAUCCUUUUAUUGGUAAAUUUUCACCCGAUAUGUGGAUAAAAAUAGUAGUUGGGCAAAUAAUCAAUGUGACCAACAUUGGCACAAAUGCUUGUCUUAUACGUUGGGAGAAAUAUACCCAUUUAAUGGUUAUUACCUCAAGUUGACCAUCGGUUGGGUUAUGAAUCAUAUGCAAUCGUCCAAGAAUUGGGUAAAAAUUAUGCAUGCACAGCAAUAGCUCAAAAAGUGGGUAGAGUUUGGACCACAUGACAGAAAACUUCCAACCAACUGGCAAGGUAUCACACAUAGACACGGCGCGCCGAUCGGAACCAGCUUUGGACGCUUUGCUCGAAGAAUGGGGCCUUGAAUCAUUAAAAGAAACGUUUAAUGGUAAGAACUAAAGUUUAUAAUUAUAUCUUUCCCAAGCAAUUAACCUUUUUUAGUAUUCUUAUUUGAGUAUUUGUCUAAUGUGCCCUCCAGUAUACCUCCCUUAUCUACGGCUGGCAUAGGCCGGAUGCACAUGUGAGGCAGGUGGGCCAUAGGACUAUUUCUCCUCACAGGCCCCAAGGUGGGGCCUGUCUAGGCCAAGCACCCUGGCCUAUGUUUUAUGUCAAAGUAGGGCUAUGAUAUUAUAAAUAAGAGAAAAAAGGCUUCAAAAUAUUCCAUUAUCCACAUUUAAUACCGGUAGUUUACAAUAUGAUGCUUCAAACAAAAAUGUGAGGUCUCGCCACAAAAUGAGUCUCAUGGUUGAAAAUUGAAAAAUUGAGUUUCAGUAAGGUGAAUAAAGUUGUUUAGAGAGUUUAUAGUAGCAAGAAAUGCUGUGGAAUGAUCAAAGAGGAGGGAUAACAAUGAUAUUGGCUGUUAUUAGUGUUUUCAAAAUUGUAGUAUUUGAAGAAAAUUAUGCAGCAAUGUUUUAUUUUCCUGCAGCAAAUGAUCCUAAGCAGUCACUGGCAGUUGAAAGUGUUGAAGUUACAGACGAUAUUAAUAUGAAGGUACAAUGGUUGAACGAUAACUUAGAACCAAAAAAGCAGGUACAGCAGUUCAUGGCGACCACUUUUAACUACUGAAUAGAAUGGAUACAGGAUAAACAGCGAUCCGUUUCAGAUAUACUAAAAGAUUUCCCAAGACUUCUGGAUAACGAUAUGAUUGACCAGGACUUUAGAUCUUCAUAUCCUGAAGCUGCUGAUCGAAUGUAUGAGAAAUGGAAUGCCAUGGUUGAUCCGAUUUGUGAGUAUGGAAUCAGGAUGUGCCCACUUUGGAAGGAAAUGCUUGACUUUUCAAGAUAGCACAGACUUAGUGUCUUUGACUACAGCAAAUAAUUAAUGUUCAAGCGUACGUGGAUAGCAUAAAUCCAGAAACCCACAGACAACCAUUCAUAUUGGCACUUGGUGACAAAGUACAUCCAUCGGACCAGUUCAUAAUAAUCGAAAAUAAGGUCAUUCAGCAGCCAUCUCUUUUUAAA